GACGGAGGAUGCAAGCGUUAUCCGGAAUGAUUGGGCGUAAAGCGUCCGCAGGUGGCAGUUCAAGUCUGCUGUCAAAGACCGGGGCUUAACUUCGGAAAGGCAGUGGAAACUGAACAGCUAGAGUAUGGUAGGGGCAGAGGGAAUUCCUGGUGUAGCGGUGAAAUGCGUAGAGAUCGGGAGGAACACCGGUGGCGAAGGCGGCCUGCUGGGCAGUAACUGACACUGAGGCGCGACAGCGUGGGGAGCAAACAGG
RNAcentral lists this ribosomal RNA (253 nucleotides) under uncultured bacterium. RNAcentral describes it as "partial 16S ribosomal RNA". It matches the Rfam family "Bacterial small subunit ribosomal RNA", at positions 524 to 776 of the family's 1533-position model. The record is from RNAcentral.